RNAcentral lists this long non-coding RNA (8464 nucleotides) under Citrus maxima (pomelo). Its description in RNAcentral is "long non-coding RNA (CMAX_LNC001913)". Lineage: Eukaryota; Viridiplantae; Streptophyta; Magnoliopsida; Sapindales; Rutaceae. The record is from RNAcentral.
UUGAUGCUGCUGCCAAUGGACCUGUAAGCCUUCGCAGCUACUCUCGGUCUGCAUCCAAUGGGCACAGCCGGCGUUACAGUGAUCCAGCCGAGAAUGGUGAUGUGAGAUCUGGUUCAAACUCGGGCAGUCGUCGUACUCCUAAUCGGGUGCCGCCGCCUCCGCCACCAACACAGUCAGGCUCCAAGUACUUUUAGGUGGCUUACAGAUUUUGGUUGACAAUUCAUAUUUUCUCUGCAUAUUUUUAGUGAGUGAAGGCCUGCUUAACCACUCAUGAUUCCAGUAGUUGGUUAAUCACUUCUUUAGAAUCUUCAAAAGAGGGUGCUUUGUGUAAAUAGGACUCUAUAGUUCCUGAGCUGAAAGUCAGGAUUUUACGGCUUGCCCCUUGUCAGAACUAUGAAUUCAAAGUGUAUUUGAAUUCCAUUUAUCAUAUUCUUCUAUUCAUUAUUUUGUUUUUGUUUUUGCUUUUGCUUUUGGCUCCUCCCCUCAUUUUUGGACGAUGGUAUAGUUGUAUUUGUUUGUGUCAGUUCUGGAUAUAUGCUUUCGGACUUUUGGCUUUGUAUCAUUUGGAAAAUUCUUGUAAGGGGAGAGAUAUAAAAAUAUUUCAUAUAUCUACUUCUCUAUUAAAGAUGCAACUUUUUGUUGUAUUUCUGAGUUGGGAUGUUGCUCGGCGAUUAGUUUUUUUGUUUUUUUUUUGACAGUAAUUGGUCUCAUUAUAAUAUAACUAACUCUUUUGAUUGUUACUGAUUUAGUGAAUCAAGGUGGCCAUCAUACGGGGCAUAUUUAAUAUGUUUUCCCUCUACGUUAUUUGUUUAAUUUUUAUUUUAUUUUUAUCAACUAAUUUUUAUGCACCUCAGUUAGUCUGUAACUGUACGAGUAUAAUGGUUUAUUUAUGUUUUUUUUUUUAAUAUUUUGAAGUAAUCUAUCUCUUAUCAAACUGCAACAAGUUAAUAGAUUAUUUUCGUUAGAGCCCGCGGACAGACGCAAAAGCCUAUACACUAGACAGUCAUUGCCGAUAGUUAUGGUGCGAACAAUUUGAGAAUGACUGUAGCUCUUAGUUUUUCUCUCUUAAUUUGCAAUGAUAGUUACAAGUAAAUUUGAGAUUUCUUCUUAUAAAAUGAUUUGUGAAAUUAAUGCGUUCACUUAAAUAUUAAUCUGGUAUAUUCUUUUAAUAUAAUUUUUUUUAAUUUAAACAUCCAAAUUGAUUAUAGAAUAAAUGUAGUAGACUCCAAUUAAUUUUGUAUUAUAUAUAUUAAUAUUUUUGUAACGUAAUUUCGUGACUUGUAUAUGAACAUUUUCCUUGUACAAUUUCUUUUAAUAAUUGCAAUAUAGUAUUGACUCAAUCCUAUUAGGGAUUUAUUUAUUUAUUUUUCUUUUUUUUUCUUUUUAAAUCUCGGCAAAGCUUAAAGAGGAGAGCCAAGAGAGCAAAUUUGUUAAACAAACAAAUUAGAAAAACGAAAGGCAUUAAGGUAAUAGCUGAAAAUCAUAAACAAUUGUACUUCCUACAUUGCGGCGUGGAAAUAUACGAAUAAAUUAUGAAGCAAAAAUUUUCAGACAUACUGAAGUUAAAAUUUUUAGACACAUUGAGUUCAGACCGUUAAAUAAAAUAAAUUAAUUUGAUUCCUUUUACUAUAACCUUUUUUUUCGCAAAAUUUGUUAAGGAAUAUGCACUAACAAAUGUAGCCAUAUCUAUGAUGGUACCUGAAACUUUUUCUCUAAUCUCUCCUAUUUUGUUCUUCAAUUAUUGCCGCUUUAUAAAUAUUUGUUUACGAUGAUCGAAAGAAAAAGUUUAGGUACUACAGUUACUUUUAGUCAUUAGAUAUAGUUAAUGUAAUUGUAUAACUGUGGAUUUAACGACUACAAAUAACUGUAAUACCAUACCACAGUUGCAACAUAAUUUUACCCCGUUAAUUGAGUGUGUUAAAUAGGUGUUCAGGGUAAUAAUGUUAUAUUUAUUUACAAUAAAUUAUUUUUAAUAGUAAUUAUAUUAUAGAUGUUUUUAUAAUAAUUUUUUAAUUAAAAUAUAAGUAUUUUUAAUAAUUUUUCAAUUAAGUCAAUCAGUCAAAGAUCCAGUGGUUAGAGCAGCAACUGUUAAAGAGAACCGAUGUGUUCUGCAUAGUCGCGAUCAUUUUGAUUCAGUAAUUGUUUUCAUCUCAUCAAAUAUCUUUCUAGUCAAUUGAAUUUUUGUUAUGGCUGCUUAUUCUUCUUCUCCUUCUUCUCCUCGAAACCGUAAGUAUGAUGUUUUUCAAAGUUUCAGAGGAGAGGACAACCGUGACAACUUUACUGGCCAUCUUUAUUCAGCCUUGUCUCAGAAAGGCAUUGAAACUUUCAUUGAUGACCAGCUUAACAGAGGAGAUGAAAUUUCACAGUCGCUUGUGGAUGCAAUUGAAGCAUCAGCUAUUUCACUCAUCAUUUUCUCUGAAGGGUAUGCCUCUUCCAGAUGGUGUCUCGAUGAACUUGUCAAAAUCCUCACACGUGAGGUGGCGAACUGGGUCUUUUGGGGAUUCAUUUUUGAAGCUUGAAGAAAUGUUCAAGGAGAAUUCAGAGAAGCUGCAGACUUGGAGGAAUGCUGAUACAACCUUCCACAUUCAGCUGGAUCAACCGGAUUAUUUACGAGAAGGGCAGCCCAUCGAUGAGUCUAAUUGUGUGCAGCCCAUGAAGGAAGCCUCAUCACAAGUUGAAGUAGACAUAGCUCGUGAGGAAGGGUAUACCGGCACAAGAGUGAGAAGAUCCCCUGGGUGGUUUAAAGAUUAUGUCGUAUAGUGAAAUUGAUAAAGCUUUAUAUUUUGCUGGUUUAUGUUGCUGUCAUAUUUUCUGUUACAAAGUUAUGCUGAGCUGUAUUCUUUUAAAAAGCCAAAAGACAGAGGAGUAUAUGUAUAGCAUAACUAAUUCGUGCAAAAGGAAUCCAGAAUGAAUCAUUUCUUUUUAACUUUUCUCUAUUCUUCUCUCACUCUCCAUCUCUCUCCCCACUCUUGCUCAUCUUUGUCAAUUUCUUUUGGAGUCAGCCCUCACUCGAAGAGUGCAAAUUUAUCGAUACAGCCUUGAUUGCAGAGAGGUGUAUCAAAUGCUUUGAAGGAAGCGGCCGGUCUGUCCGGCUUUCAUUCUCAGAACAUUAGGUAAUCAAAUUUCUUUUCUCAUACCAUUAUGGUGAUGCAACAGAAUGUUAUUUUCUGCUUGAUUAAUUACCAGCGCCCCAGCCAGUUAUAGUGAAUUUUUUUUUGUCAAGUAUGCUGAAUUAUGUACUUCAAUUUUAUUAGGCAUCCUAGUGUCUUCCGGCAAGUGAUUUGUGGAAUUGAUAUUUGACGGUUACAUUUGGUGUGCUAAAUUCUGUAUGUGUUAAACUCAUUUGAAAGAAUUUUGACAGAGUUAUUGAAAUCAGCAUUUGUGUGUUUUCAUUGGGUGUUCUUUCAUAUUUCAAGUAAUUCCAAUCUGUCACUCAUAUUCCUAUUUAAGAGUUAUUGUCAUAUUUUCGUGCAAAUCCCUCCUAUUUGAACUUAUUAUUUUACAUAUUUGCUAGGUCUGAAUCAGAACUUGUAAAGGAAGUUGUUAAUCAAAUUUUGAAGAGGCCGGCUGAAGUCUCUCCUUGUAGUAAUAAAAACCAGUUGGUUGGAGUUGAAUCAAGAGUUGAGGAAAUUGAAUCUCUACUAGGUGCUGAGUCGAAAGAUGUUUACGCUUUAGGGAUUUGGGGCACUGGUGUUAUAGACAGGACAACAAUUGCUAGAGCUAUUUUCAAUAAAAUCUCUAGUAACUUUGAAGGUUCUUGCUUCCUUCAAAAUGUUAGAGAAGAAUCACAAAGACCGGGAGGAUUAGGUUGCUUGCAACAAAAACUUCUUUCAAAAUUAUUGCAGGAUGGCAAUGUGAUUCCUGAUAUUGCCCUGAGCUUUAGACAGCUCAGCCGCAGGAAGGUUCUGAUUGUUCUUGAUGAUGUGACUUGUUUCAGACAAAUAAAAUCCUUAAUCGGAAGUCUUGAUUGGUACAUGGCAGAGAGUUGAAUCAUAAUAACAAGAAGAAAUCAACAAGUGCUUAGAAAUUGUUGUGUCAAAGAGAAAUAUGAGAUGAAGGAAUUAGGAGAUGAUCAUGCACUUGAGCUUUUUAGUCGACAUGCCUUCAAACAAAACAAUCCUCAUAUAGGUUUUGAGGAACUGUCAAGCAGGGUCACACAAUAUGCUCAAGGUGUUCCAUUAGCUAUUGAAAUUUUGGGUUGUUUUCUAUUUGAAAAAGAAAAACAAUUUUGGGAAAGUGCAAUAAACAAAUUGAAAAGAAUCCCUAAUAUGGAAAUCCAGAAGGUGCUAAAAAUAAGUUUUGAUGGUUUGGAUGAUGAAGAGAAAAAUAUUCUUCUAGACAUUGCUUGUUUCUUUAAAUGGAAAAAUAAAGACUUGGUCAUAAAAUUUCUUAAUGCUUGUGGCUUCACUGCACAAAUAGGAAUAAGUAGUCUUGUUGACAAGUCUCUUAUUUGUAUGCACGGCAACAAUAUAACAAUGCAUGAUCUUCUACAAGAAAUGGGUAGGGAAAUUGUACGGCAAGAAUCAACGAAUGAUCCAGCAAAACGUAGUCGGUUGUGGCAUCAUGAGGAUAUUAUCAAAGUCCUGACAUCUAAUACGGUAAGCAUUUUGUUAGAGAAUAUAUUAUUUUGGAAUGCUAUUUAAUAUUCAAAGUUUACUUAUAAUUGUAUAAAUAGAUGGGUUUAUAAAAUUUAUAAAAGAUUGGCAAUGAUUAAGUGGGAAAAAAAAAAGAAAAAUUGGAAAAAAGGAAACCAGUAGUACAUGAUGUAGCAAUAAUGUAUAAUUGCUAUGUCAAUUUGUAUAUAACAGUUUGCGGACAAGCAUUGAUAGUUUAUACGUUGUCUGCAUUGAUAGUUUAUAUGUUUAGUAUUACUUGUAUUAUCCUGUUUCUUUGUAAGUAGGUUUAGAUUUACCAGUUUGAUUGCCAAACAAUAACUAUCUACUUGAAUUGUAUAAAUUUGAUUUUAACAUUAUGGUCUUUUUAUUGAUUAUUAGGGGACUGAAGCAAUUGAAGGCAUUUGCUUGGAUAUGUCUAAAGUGAAAGAGAUCCAUCUAAAUCCUGAUACUUUCACAAAGAUGAGUAAAUUGAGAUUUUUGAAAUUCUAUUGCUCAAUCCAUGGAGAGAACAAAUGUAAGGCAUCUGAUUUCUAAGGUCCUGUAUUUGCUGAAGUGAGGUAUUUUCACUGGCAUGGAUAUCCAUUGAAAUCACUGCCUUCAAAUAUUCAUCCAGAGAAACUAGUUUUACUUGAAAUGCCUCAUAGCAAUAUUCAACAACUUUGGGAUGGUGUCCUGGUAUGUAUAUCUUAACAUAUGCAUGCAAUGUUUAAGUCAUAACAUUUAAUUAUCAUAGCAUGCUAAUGAUUUGUCUUGACCUCUUUUUUGUCUCAGCAGCGUUGUGGUAAGCUAAAGCAGAAAAUCAUCUCUGCCUGCAAUAUUUUUACCAAAACUCCAAACCCCUCGUUGAGUCAACCUCUGAACACGCUGGUUGUCCUGAAUCUAAGGCAUUGCAAAAGUCUGAAAAGUCUUCCAGCUGGAAUUCAUUUGGAAUUUCUUAAAGAAUUUGAUCUUUCAGGUCGUUCAAAACUGAGGCGGCUUCCAGAUAUCUCAUCAGCUGCUAAUAUAGAAGAGAUGCUUUUAAAUGGAACUGCAAUUGAAGAGCUGCCCUCAUCCAUCGAGUGUCUGUAUAAGCUUUUGCGCUUGGACCUUGAAGAUUGCAAAAGCCUUAAGAGUCUCCCAAGUGGCCUGUGUAAGUUAAAAUCAUUAAAAUAUCUUACUCUCAAUGGUUGCUCAAAUCUUCAGAGAUUGCCUGAUGAACUCGGAAAUUUAGAAGCUUUGUGGAGUUCGCAUGCUAUAAGAACUGCUAUAAGAGAAGUGCUAUCAUCUUUUUUCCGUUUGAACAACAUUGAUCUCUUAAGUUUCCAGAGAAGCAGGGGUCAUAAGCAGAUGGGUUUAUCAUUGCCUAUCAUGUUAUCUUUAGAUGGCUUGCACACUCUAACGUAUUUAAAUCUAACUAAUUGUGGCAUCACACGGUUACCUGAAAAUAUUGGCCAGUUAUCCUCGAGAGAAUUCCAGAAAGCAUCAUACAACUUUGUAAGUUGGGAAGGUUCUACUUAAGGUAUUGUGAGAGGCUUCAAUCCUUACCAAAGCUUCCAUGCAAACUACAUGAGUUGGAUGCACAUCAUUGCACGGCACUGGAAUCGUUAUCAGGUUUAUUCUCAAGUUAUGAAGCUUGUACUCAGUAUUUUGACCUGAGUUAUAAUUAUAAAUUGGAUCGAAAUGAGAUCAGAGGAAUUCUUGAAGAAGCUCUGCAAGAAAUUCAACUCUUGGCAACUGCACGAUGGAAAGAAGUAAGAGCGGAGUUAUUAAUUUCUUUUUUCUUCAAAUUAAAGUUGACAAUUAAUAUUUGAUUAAAAUUAUGAUUUUCUGUGGUACAGAUAUAUUAUUCUCAAAAAUAUGCACUGUUGGUUCGUGUCUUUUUUCCUGGGGAUGAAAUUCCGAUGAGGUUUAGCUUUCAAAGUAUGAAAUCUUCUAUAACCUUGAAGAUGCCACCAGGUUGGUUCGGUAAUAAAAAGGUACUCGGCUUUGCUUUUAGUGCUAUUGUGGCAUUUGGAGAACAUAAUGUCAGAGAAAAGAGGUGGUUCGAAUUGUUUUGUGAAUUCAAAGUCAGACCCAAAGAUUCGCAUGCCAUACAGAGAUUUAUGGGGAUGGUUGAUUAUGUAGAGUCAGAUCACUUACUUUUGGGAUACUAUUUCUUCGAUGAUCAGGAUUUGAAUGGUUUUUGGAAAUACAAUUGCAUUCUUGAGGCAGUUCAAUUCUAUUUUAAGGAGGAUUUUAUCGCUCUGAACGUUUGGAGUGUUGCCCGGUGAAAAAAUGUGGGAUCCAUUUAUUGUAUGUACCAGACUCUACAAAAUCAAUGGAAGAUCCAAGUGAAUUUUUCUACCAUAACCAUGAAGAGGAACGACACCCCAAAAGACUCAAAUAUUCUUGAAAACGUGUAUUGCAGCUGGUAUUUUUGAGAAGAGAUAUGUUAGAUUAAUUCAUCGGUACUGUUUGAUCUUAAAAUGUUGCUUUCCAAACAUUUCUUUUAUGAUUUUAUAUUUUUAUAUGAAGAUGGAAGUGACUUUUAGAUGUUUUUCAACUCUUUUAUUUUGAUAAAAGCUACAUUUCACGUCCAGUACUAUUGUUUGGUCCAAGCAGUUAUUGUUUGACUUUUGGUUGGUCUGGCUAGUGUUUAGAUCCUUGUGUAUUUGUGUUUAUUUGGUUUCUGCAUGAAAUGUAUAUUAAAUCAAAUUUACAAUGCAUGUAAGUCCGUUUAUAGUUUAGACAUAAUUUUCGGCCACUAUUACUUUAAGAUGUUCGGAUCAAUGCUUCCUUAUCAGUAGUAAAUUUUUGCUGAAUUCUUUUGGGAAAAUUUCUCUGCAACUAGCUUAUGUUGAAAUCUCUGUAGUCUUGUUUGGCUGGAAAGACAGCAUCAGGUGUUGGAGGUGAACUAGAAACGAACUUCAAAAAAGGCAACUGAGGUAGAUCAAGGGAUUGUGAACAGGGUAUGGGGUCCUUUUCCUGAUAUAAUCGGAUUACGACUUCAAAUGACAAAUGCAUUGAGUAGACACUUUUUCCUUUGAAAUGAGUAUCUAAACUAUGCUGCUCAAUGGUUCUAGUGUUAUAAAACUUUGGAAAUGAGUUACAUUUUAGCCUCUAUUCACUGAUUUUUAUACGUCUUUCCAUAUAAAUAUAUAGACAGAGGUACAUACCUAAUUCAACAUUUCUUCCUAUAUAGCUAGUAUUCAUAGAGAUGCACCGAUAUAUGGAGCAUUUUGCUGUUAGUAUUAACAACUUUUAUUUAUUCCUAUAAGUUCUUUGUAGAAACAAUCAGGUGAUGACUGGAAAUCUGCAUUUGAUGCUGCUGCUGCCAAUGGACCUGUUAAGCCAUCGCAGCUACUAUCGUUCUGCAUUCAAUGGUCAUAGCGGGGAUUACGGUGAUCUGGCCUAGAAUGGUGAAGUGAGAUCUGGUUCAAACUCCAGCAGUCAUCGUAAUCCUAAUGAGGUGCUGGCACCACCCCCACCAGCAGCAGAGUCAGGAGGCUAUAGGCACUUCCAGUUGGCUUACAGAUUUUGGUUGACAAUUCAUAUAUUCACUGCAAAUUUUUAGUGAGUGAAGCCCUGUUUAACCACUCCGUGAUUCCAGUGCUUGUUCAAAAAUCACUUUACUAGAAUCUUUAGAAGAGGGUGUUUUGUGUACAUAGACAUAGGACUCUAUACGGCUAGCUUCAUGUCAAAGCAAUGAAUUCAAAGUGUAUUCAAAAUUCAUUUACUAUAUUCUUUCUUCUUUUCAUUAUUUUGCUUUUAUUUUUGGUUCCUCCCCUCACUUUUGGACAACGAUAUAGAUGUAUUUGCUUGUAUCAGUUCUGGUUAUAUACAUACUCUUGGACUCGUGGCUCCGUUUAGAAAAAAAAAAAAAAUUCUUG